Molecule: ribosomal RNA, 253 nt
Filed under: uncultured bacterium
Lineage: Bacteria
Description: partial 16S ribosomal RNA
Rfam family: Bacterial small subunit ribosomal RNA
Source: RNAcentral
UACGUAGGGGGCAAGCGUUGUUCGGAAUUACUGGGCGUAAAGGGCUCGUAGGCGGCCAACUAAGUCAGACGUGAAAUCCCUCGGCUUAACCGGGGAACGGCCUCUGAUACUGGAUGGCUUGAGUUCGGGAGAGGGAUGCGGAAUUCCAGGUGUAGCGGUGAAAUGCGUAGAUAUGCGGAGGAACACCGAUGGCGAAGGCAAUCCCCUGGGCCUGCACUGACGCUCAUGCACGAAAGCGUGGGGAGCAAACAGG